CGUCAGCUCGUGUCGUGAGAUGUUGGGUUAAGUCCCGCAACGAGCGCAACCCCUAUCUUCAGUAGCCAGCAUUACGGAUGGGCACUCUGGAGAGACUGCCAGGGACAACCUGGAGGAAGGUGGGGAUGACGUCAAAUCAUCAUGCCCCUUAUGGCCAGGGCUACACACGUGCUACAAUGGCGUGAACAAAGGGAAGCAGCCAUGUGAAUGUGAGCAAAUCCCAAAAAUAACGUCUCAGUUCGGAUUGUAGUCUGCAACUCGACUACAUGAAGCUGGAAUCGCUAGUAAUCGCGAAUCAGAAUGUCGCGGUGAAUACGUUCCCGGGUCUUGUACACACCGCCCGUCACACCAUGGGAGUCAGUAACGCCCGAAGCCGGUGACCUAACCGAAAGGGAGGAGCCGUCGAAGGUGGGACCGAUAACUGGGGUGAAGUCGUAACAAGGUAGCCGUAUCGGAAGGUGCGGUUGGAUCACCUC
RNAcentral lists this ribosomal RNA (476 nucleotides) under uncultured bacterium. Its description in RNAcentral is "bacterial SSU rRNA". It matches the Rfam family "Bacterial small subunit ribosomal RNA", at positions 1053 to 1529 of the family's 1533-position model. The record is from RNAcentral.